RNAcentral lists this ribosomal RNA (318 nucleotides) under uncultured eukaryote. RNAcentral describes it as "partial 18S ribosomal RNA". It matches the Rfam family "Eukaryotic small subunit ribosomal RNA", at positions 1470 to 1796 of the family's 1831-position model. The record is from RNAcentral.
CCCUUAGAUGUCCUGGGCCGCACGCGUGCUGCACUGAUGCAUACAGCGAGUACUUUCCAGCUCCGCGAGGCAGCUGGUAAUCAGCAAUAUGCAUCGUGCUGGGGAUAGAUCUUUGGAAUUAUAGAUCUUGAACGAGGAAUUCCUAGUAAGCGCAAGUCAUUAGCUUGCGCUGAUUAAGUCCCUGCCCUUUGUACACACCGCCCGUCGCUCCUACCGAUUUCGAGUGAUUCGGUGAACCUUUUGGACAGCGUCUGUCCUCGUGUCAGAUGCUGAAAGUCAAGUAAACCAUAUCACUUAGAGGAAGGAGAAGUCGUAACA